UGAGUGAAUAAGGCUCAAUAGUUAAGUGAUAAUUGCCUAGGAGAUACACCUGUUCUCAUGCCGAACACAGAAGUUAAGCCCUAGAACGCCGGAAGUAGUUGGGGGUUGCCCCCUGUGAGAUAAGGUAGUCGCUUAGCUAUAAUCCGCCAUAGCUCAGUUGGU
RNAcentral lists this ribosomal RNA (162 nucleotides) under Streptococcus agalactiae 2603V/R. Lineage: Bacteria; Bacillati; Bacillota; Bacilli; Lactobacillales; Streptococcaceae. The record is from RNAcentral.